This is a long non-coding RNA of Pieris napi, 227 nucleotides long. RefSeq lists it as uncharacterized. The record is from RefSeq and is a predicted model, not a curated record. The transcript has 4 exons. NCBI's taxonomy places the organism in Eukaryota, Metazoa, Arthropoda, Insecta, Lepidoptera, Pieridae.
ACUAGUAUAUAUCAAUUCUAAAAGCGGCCACUGACGAUACGUCCAUUUAGUAGACUUCCUUUUGGAUGCACUCCAAAUGGAAAUUUAUCGAGAUACGGUACCAUUCACAAUACUUCCAUUUGGAUGCAUGGCGUCACUUCGAACUUUGCAAUCGUACGGAACGGAAAUAAAUUAUACUAUGGAUAACAAUACUUUACUGGUGGCAGCAGUUGUGUGUAUUUUAUUAA